This 2414-nucleotide small RNA is filed under the name Pongo abelii (Sumatran orangutan). RNAcentral's name for it is "sense intronic". The record is from RNAcentral. Lineage: Eukaryota; Metazoa; Chordata; Mammalia; Primates; Hominidae.
AUUCAUUCAUUUACUGUCAAAUUUCUUAAUGAACUGCUAUUGACAGAUGAUUAAAAUUCAAUCCCAGAAAUGUUCUGGGCCUUUGAAAGGUGUGUCCUACGGGCCCGAAGAAGGGGCUGUGACCAGAUGGUGGUUCUGCACUUGUAGGUAGGGUGUGGUCCUUGUUUGCGGUGAAUCUCUGGGAGCGUGGCAGUUUCUCUCGUGUGUCACGUUCUCCCUGUGUCUGCAUCCAGAGUGGCCGCAGUCCCCAGGGGAUGAAGGGUGCACCUAUUUCUUUAAAUUUCCAUGGUGGGUUGAAACUGCUCCUUGAGAUUUUAAAAUAUGCUUCACGGUCCCCAUGGUGUCAGGUAGCUAGUUUAUGGGUCCCGUCCUGGUUGUGAUAACUCAGGCUAAGCUGGAUAAUAAACGAAAGUGGGACAGAGCUGCAGGAUAAAUAUUGCUACAGGACAUUUCCAGCGGCACAAAUCACAGGGAAAAUAUCUCCCAGGCUUUUCAUUUCUCCUCUUCCUGCCUGGCCCUCUGGUAGCAGCCAGCAAAGCAGGAUCCAUCCGUCACCCUUCCCCCGCCCCCACCCCAGCCUCAGCUCUCAGUGCACUGCUGGGGAGCGAGGGAUGCAGAUUGGUCCUGGUGCAGGUGGCCCUCUCUGUCUGGUGGCCCUCUGUCUCCCUGCCCAGCUCUGGAGUCAGCCCCGGGGAGCCGGGAUGGCCAGGGUCAUGCUGUUUUCAGUUGUGGACGAGUGCUUAGCUUUGCAGACCUGAUUCUUUAUCUCUAAAACGAGAGACAUUAAUAACUGGUGGUUCUUAGUCUGGCGCGAUUAGGUGCUCGUGUCACUCACCGGGGGAACUUAAAAGCCGCUUGCUGAGUCCCACCCUAGCGCAUAGAGUCACGACCGCGGGGGUCUGGUCUGGGGUGUUUUCACUGACGUUCGGUGGCCCCUGCCAGCGGGGCUUCCGAGGCCCACUCCUGGCCAAGAGCCACUCCUGGUACAAGUGAGGACUGAGAUGGGCGAUGGGGCGGUCAGUGCGAUGGGCCAUUUCGUUGACCUGCUCUUGUACUAGAUCCAUCAGCACUGUCACUUAGCGAGGCUUUCUUCAGCUUUGGAGGCAUGCUGGCUUCGUAAUCAGCAUCAACCUGUAGGUGCUGAUUGAGCCUGCGGGGAAUACCAAGCACGUAGGCCUGGAAAGGUAACUAACCGCACGCGGCAGGCGAGUCUAUUAAACAGAGAGGCUGGUCCCGGUGUAGGUUGUUACCACCGCUGGGCCCUCCCACCACCUGAUCUUGAAGCAUUCUCAGCGGUUUCUCUCACUCCAUGCCCGGGUUCUGCUGACUGUGCCUCUGCGUUGUCUCCGGAUGCCACUUUCCCAGUUCAGGUGCUCAAGGCGUCUUACCUGAACAUUACCGUAGCUUCCUGACAAGUCUCCUCCAAGCUGUCCUUUGCUGUCCUGCAGAGUGGCUGUGCCCACUGACCUGGUCGGCUGUGCCUGGUCCGCUGUGCCUGGUUGGCUGUGCCUGGCGUGUGGAGGAUGCUCACUGUGCCCGGGUGGAUGAGUUCAGUGGUUCCCUGUCUUCCCGAGGAAACCCCAGAGUCUGUGUGGCUGCAGCCCUGUCUGUGGCCCUCACGAGCUGUAUGACCACCCGCUAGACUCUUCUCGUGCUUUCUUGAUUCUGCCACGUCCUUGCCGUCCGCUGGGUCUCGCCUGUGCUAUUUGCUCUCCCUGCAAUGCCCUUUCUCCUCCCUCUGCCAGGCAGACUGUACUCACCCGCUGGGUGCAGUGCAGGUACUCUCACAGGACACCUCCUCAUCUAUGCCCAUACUGGCAUUCUAGCACUUACCACAUGCUUGUGCUGUUGAAAAAGUUUGUUUUUAAUUUUUUUAUUUUUAGACAUGAGGGCCAGGCUGGAGUGCAGUUGCAUGAUCAUGGCUCACUGUAGCUUUGACCUCCUGGGCUCAAGUGAUCCUCCAACCUCAGCCUUCCAAGUACUUAGAACUACAGGUGGACACCACCAUGCCUGGCUAAUUUUUAAGUUUUUGUAGAGAUGGGGGUCUUGCUAUAUUGUCCCUGGUCUUGACCUCCUGGUCUCAAGCGAUCCUCCUCCUCGGCCUCCCAAGUUGCUGGGGGAUUACAGGUAUUAGCCACUGUGCCUGGCUCUCUCGUUUGUUUAAAGAUCUCUCUCUCUCCUUUCUGUCUUCCUCCCUCCCUCCCCCCCUCCUCCUUAAAAUUAUAAGCUGCUUGAAAACAGGAACCAGCUGAGUUGAGCCCAUAUACCAAGUGAAGUGCUUAGCAGAUCUCUGCCUGAUAAAUGUUCGUUGAAUGACUACAGCGUGGUGUAAAGAAUGUGGACCAGGAAGGGAUGUUUGUAUUUGUUGUGUUCUGACCUUGUUAGAUGACCCUGAAUACAUUCAUUUAUCCCCC